RNAcentral lists this ribosomal RNA (464 nucleotides) under uncultured bacterium. RNAcentral's name for it is "partial 16S ribosomal RNA". It matches the Rfam family "Bacterial small subunit ribosomal RNA", at positions 28 to 507 of the family's 1533-position model. The record is from RNAcentral.
GACGAACGCUGGCGGCGUGCUUAACACAUGCAAGUCGAACGGAAAGGCCCUGCUUGCAGGGUACUCGAGUGGCGAACGGGUGAGUAACACGUGGGUGAUCUGCCCUGCACUUCGGGAUAAGCCUGGGAAACUGGGUCUAAUACCGGAUAGGAGCCAUUUUUAGUGUGAUGGUUGGAAAGUUUUUUCGGUGUAGGAUGAGCUCGCGGCCUAUCAGCUUGUUGGUGGGGUAAUGGCCUACCAAGGCGGCGACGGGUAGCCGGCCUGAGAGGGUGGACGGCCACAUUGGGACUGAGAUACGGCCCAGACUCCUACGGGAGGCAGCAGUGGGGAAUAUUGCACAAUGGGCGCAAGCCUGAUGCAGCGACGCCGCGUGGGGGAUGACGGCCUUCGGGUUGUAAACUCCUUUCGCUAGGGACGAAGCUUUUGUGACGGUACCUAGAUAAGAAGCACCGGCUAACUACGCG